CCUGAAAUAUAAUACACCGUUGUUAGAUACAUUACUUGUUUAAAAACAUUUUUUUUUACAUUUGAACAAUUUUUCUAAACCUAAUAGCUUCGGAGAUAUUCCGUCAAAUAUGUUUCCAACAUCCAACUUCGGGAGCUGUUUUCACUCUUUCAACAUGAAUAUCAGUACAUAAAAAGAUAUGUGUCAAAUACUUUUUCAAGAACUACAUCAUACUAUAUAAGCUUCAUUAAAAUCUGUGAUUUACACUUGAGUAUGUUUCUAUAUUACUCAAACAAAGAAAGAAUCAGAAAUGGAAAAUUGUGUUAUAUUUACUUUAAAGCCGAGUUCUCCAGGAUUUUCUGCCUCGAAAUCGUACAAAGCUGUGCAGCAAGGUUGUCUUGUCAUCGGAGUCCUGGCUGGCGAUUUGCUCGGAGAUGGCAAGGGUGAAGCUAGAAACCAUCAAGAAUUUUAGAAUUAUAUUAGAUAUAAAUAAAUAAUGCAACAAAAUAUUACGCUUGCUGUGACAGUCUUAAAUUAGAGCACUACAGUAUCUAAAUAAUUUGAAUUUUACCUUCAAUAAAAUAAAACAUAAUGCAAAACUAAAUGUAUGGUAAUAUCUGAUGAUCAACUUAAACAGCUGUUCUCGCUAAAAUCUAGAUAAAAUUAUGAAGUAUAGUGAAUCACAUUAAUAUAUAAAUACGAUAAUGUCUGAGAUCUAUAUAUGCAGUGAAAAUUAAAUUAGAAAAUUAGAUUUCUAUUGGUUCUAAGCAGACUUUUUAUAUAAUUUUUAUAGAGAAAUCUACAACAAUCCAAUAAAUAUUAUAUUAUAUUAUAUAUAUAAUAUAAUAUAUUAUAUAUUAUAUAUUAUAAUAUAUAUAAUAUUAUAGUAAACAACAUAACGGCCUUGACAUUCAAGUUUUAUUGUGAAUCACUAUAUCUUAUAAAAUUAAGAAAAACAAAAUAUUCCAUAACAGCACACACAAAAAGAAAUGUACAACCAUUACAUAAACAUGCAUGUAUAUACUUAAUGAUCGUUAAAUGGCUAAAUUAGAAUACAUUGAUAGAAAAUACACAAGAAGCAAAAUAGUAAUUACUUUCUUGCCCUGUUUGCGGUGCACGAAAAGCGAUAGAAUUGAAAUUGAAUAAUUAAUCGAUCGAUUGAAACCUACGAUAGGAGAAAC
Molecule: long non-coding RNA, 1160 nt
Organism: Bombus terrestris (buff-tailed bumblebee)
Lineage: Eukaryota; Metazoa; Arthropoda; Insecta; Hymenoptera; Apidae
Exons: 2
Source: RefSeq, a predicted model, not a curated record